RNAcentral lists this long non-coding RNA (358 nucleotides) under Helianthus annuus (common sunflower). RNAcentral describes it as "hypothetical non coding rna". The record is from RNAcentral. Lineage: Eukaryota; Viridiplantae; Streptophyta; Magnoliopsida; Asterales; Asteraceae.
UUGCUUGCAAAUAUACUAUAAGUUUUGUGGCUUUGACAAUGUCUGCAAAGGAUGAUCGGGAGAGUUUGAAGUAUUAAUUGCUGGGUUCUGAAGGUGAUAUCGGUUCCUAGGGUCAUGAGUAUGUUAGGAAUUUGGCCGGUGAAAUUGCACAAGAGUAUUCAAAAAGAGUGAAUGAGGAAGCAAACGUGGAUGAUCUAAUAGAACUUGUGGAACACGCUCCCCAUGAGUUGGUAAUAAUUGUGUUGAAUGAACCGGACAUCUUGACAACCGAGUAUGCAAUUAAGGGGAAGAUAAUUAGCCUAUGGAGGAUACCGGUGAACAACAAUAAAAAUCGAACCUAUUGUAUCGAGAUGAUAUU